This 253-nucleotide ribosomal RNA is filed under the name uncultured bacterium. RNAcentral describes it as "partial 16S ribosomal RNA". It matches the Rfam family "Bacterial small subunit ribosomal RNA", at positions 524 to 776 of the family's 1533-position model. The record is from RNAcentral.
UACGUAGGGGGCAAGCGUUGUCCGGAAUCAUUGGGCGUAAAGAGCUCGUAGGCGGCUCGUCGCGUCAGCUGUGAAAACCCGCAGCUUAACUGUGGGCUUGCAGCUGAUACGGGCGGGCUAGAGUUCGGUAGGGGAGACUGGAAUUCCUGGUGUAGCGGUGAAAUGCGCAGAUAUCAGGAGGAACACCGGUGGCGAAGGCGGGUCUCUGGGCCGAUACUGACGCUGAGGAGCGAAAGCGUGGGGAGCGAACAGG